UACGUAGGGUGCAAGCGUUGUCCGGAAUUAUUGGGCGUAAAGAGCUCGUAGGCGGUGUGUCACGUCGGCCGUGAAAACCUGGGGCUUAACUCUGGGCGUGCGGUCGAUACGGGCAUCACUAGAGUUCGGCAGGGGAGACUGGAAUUCCUGGUGUAGCGGUGAAAUGACGCAGAUAUCAGGAGGAACACCGGUGGCGAAGGCGGGUCUCUGGGCCGAUACUGACGCUGAGGAGCGAAAGCAUGGGUAGCGAACAGG
RNAcentral lists this ribosomal RNA (255 nucleotides) under uncultured bacterium. RNAcentral describes it as "partial 16S ribosomal RNA". It matches the Rfam family "Bacterial small subunit ribosomal RNA", at positions 524 to 776 of the family's 1533-position model. The record is from RNAcentral.